CAUGCCGUAAACGAUGAAUGCUAGGUGUUGGAAGGUUUCCGCCUUUCAGUGCCGCAGCUAACGCAUUAAGCAUUCCGCCUGGGGAGUACGACCGCAAGGUUGAAACUCAAAGGAAUUGACGGGGACCCGCACAAGCGGUGGAGCAUGUGGUUUAAUUCGAUGCUACGCGAAGAACCUUACCAGGACUUGACAUCUUCUGCCAAUCUAAGAGAUUAGACGUUCCCUUCGGGGACAGAAUGACAGGUGG
Molecule: ribosomal RNA, 247 nt
Filed under: uncultured Lactobacillus sp.
Lineage: Bacteria; Bacillati; Bacillota; Bacilli; Lactobacillales; Lactobacillaceae
Description: partial 16S ribosomal RNA
Rfam family: Bacterial small subunit ribosomal RNA
Source: RNAcentral